This 465-nucleotide ribosomal RNA is filed under the name uncultured bacterium. RNAcentral's name for it is "partial 16S ribosomal RNA". It matches the Rfam family "Bacterial small subunit ribosomal RNA", at positions 28 to 507 of the family's 1533-position model. The record is from RNAcentral.
GACGAACGCUGGCGGCGUGCUUAACACAUGCAAGUCGAACGGAAAGGCCCUGCCUGCAGGGUACUCGAGUGGCGAACGGGUGAGUAACACGUGGGUGAUCUGCCCUGCACUUCGGGAUAAGCCUGGGAAACUGGGUCUAAUACCGGAUAGGAGCCAUUUUUAGUGUGAUGGUUGGAAAGUUUUUUCGGUGUAGGAUGAGCUCGCGGCCUAUCAGCUUGUUGGUGGGGUAAUGGCCUACCAAGGCGGCGACGGGUAGCCGGCCUGAGAGGGUGGACGGCCACAUUGGGACUGAGAUACGGCCCAGACUCCUACGGGAGGCAGCAGUGGGGAAGAUUGCACAAGGGGCGCAAGCCUGAUGCAGCGACGCCGCGUGGGGGAUGACGGCCUUCGGGUUGUAAACUCCUUUCGCUAGGGACGAAGCUUUUUGUGACGGUACCUAGAUAAGAAGCACCGGCUAACUACGUG